RNAcentral lists this ribosomal RNA (497 nucleotides) under uncultured bacterium. RNAcentral describes it as "partial 16S ribosomal RNA". It matches the Rfam family "Bacterial small subunit ribosomal RNA", at positions 28 to 507 of the family's 1533-position model. The record is from RNAcentral.
GAUGAACGCUGGCGGCGUGCCUAAUACAUGCAAGUCGAGCGAACAGACGAGGAGCUUGCUCCUCUGAUGUUAGCGGCGGACGGGUGAGUAACACGUGGAUAACCUACCUAUAAGACUGGGAUAACUUCGGGAAACCGGAGCUAAUACCGGAUAACAUGUUGAACCGCAUGGUUCAACAGUGAAAGACGGUCUUGCUGUCACUUAUAGAUGGAUCCGCGCCGCAUUAGCUAGUUGGUAAGGUAACGGCUUACCAAGGCAACGAUUCGUAGCCGACCUGAGAGGGUGAUCGGCCACACUGGAAGUGAGACAAGGGACAGACUCCUACGGGAGGCAGCAGUAGGGAAUCUUCCGCAAUGGGCGAAAGCCUGAAGGAGCAACGCCGCGUGAGUGAAGAAGGUCUUCGGAUCGUAAAACGCUGUUAUUAGGGAAGAACAAAUGUGUAAGUAACUAUGCAAGUCUUGACGGUACCUAAUCAGAAAGCCACGGCUAACUACGUG